CGUUCAGCGGAGAAUGCGCAUGUCUGGACGCUUGAACGCGCCAAAUCGAGAUGAAGACGACGCAAGUCAUCACCUCCAUGGUUCCACUCUUUGCACUUCUCGUGUCAGCGCCGGUAUGAGAACUUUUACCAGAUAAAAGAAGAAUUCAAAAGAAUUACAACCAUUGAGCUGGAAACAACAUUCGUUGCAAAUUUGGACAAGCACACAGUGAGGCUCCUGUCUUUGUUCUCUGCUAAAGGAGGUGCUGCUGGACGGAAGAUGGGUCAACUUCUGGAUCUUUUGAAGCAGGGUGCUCCAUCUGAUGAAGUAAAAGAGGAUCUUGCACAGCAUACAAUCAAAAUUGUCACCAAAGGUGGUUCUACGGAGGAUGACCCAUUGGAUGUUGGGAUUGUGCUGGAAGGCAGAGAAGUACUGUCUGGGUUGUCCAGUGUAGCAAGGGCGUGUGCCUUGUUACUAGGUCUGAUCUAUGCUGUGAACCUUAGUUACCCCAAACAACUCAGGUACACGUUUGAAUUUUGUCAAAAGAU
Astyanax mexicanus (Mexican tetra) is the source of this 527-nucleotide long non-coding RNA. RefSeq lists it as uncharacterized. The transcript is spliced from 3 exons. The record is from RefSeq and is a predicted model, not a curated record. NCBI's taxonomy places the organism in Eukaryota, Metazoa, Chordata, Actinopteri, Characiformes, Acestrorhamphidae.